This 393-nucleotide ribosomal RNA is filed under the name uncultured bacterium. RNAcentral describes it as "partial 16S ribosomal RNA". It matches the Rfam family "Bacterial small subunit ribosomal RNA", at positions 523 to 918 of the family's 1533-position model. The record is from RNAcentral.
AUACGGAGGAUGCGAGCGUUAUCCGGAUUUAUUGGGUUUAAAGGGAGCGUAGGUGGGAUAUUAAGUCAGCUGUGAAAGUUUGGGGCUCAACCUUAAAAUUGCAGUUGAUACUGGCUGUCUUGAGUACAGUAGAGGAGGGCGGAAUUCGUGGUGUAGCGGUUAAAUGCUUAGAUAUCACGAAGAACUCCGAUUGCGAAGGCAGCUCACUGGACUGCAACUGACACUGAUGCUCGAAAGUGUGGGUAUCAAACAGGAUUAGAUACCCUGGUAGUCCACACAGUAAACGAUGAAUACUCGCUGUUUGCGAUAUACAGUAAGCGGCCAAGCGAAAGCAUUAAGUAUUCCACCUGGGGAGUACGCCGGCAACGGUGAAACUCAAAGGAAUUGGCGGGG